GACGAACGCUGGCGGCGUGCUUAACACAUGCAAGUCGAACGGAAAGGCCCUGCUUUUGUGGGGUGCUCGAGUGGCGAACGGGUGAGUAACACGUGAGUAACCUGCCCUUGACUUUGGGAUAACUUCAGGAAACUGGGGCUAAUACCGGAUAGGAGCUCCUGCUGCAUGGUGGGGGUUGGAAAGUUUCGGCGGUUGGGGAUGGACUCGCGGCUUAUCAGCUUGUUGGUGGGGUAGUGGCUUACCAAGGCUUUGACGGGUAGCCGGCCUGAGAGGGUGACCGGCCACGUGUGGACUGAGAUACGGGCGAGACUCCUACGGGAGGCAGCAGUGGGGAAUAUUGCACAAUGGGCGGAAGACUGAUGCAGCAACGCCGCGUGCGGGAUGACGGCCUUCGGGUUGUAAACCGCUUUCGCCUGUGACGAAGCGUGAGUGACGGUAAUGGGUAAAGAAGCACCGGCUAACUACGUG
This 468-nucleotide ribosomal RNA is filed under the name uncultured bacterium. RNAcentral's name for it is "partial 16S ribosomal RNA". It matches the Rfam family "Bacterial small subunit ribosomal RNA", at positions 28 to 507 of the family's 1533-position model. The record is from RNAcentral.